This is a non-coding RNA of Dermochelys coriacea (leatherback sea turtle), 826 nucleotides long. NCBI's taxonomy places the organism in Eukaryota, Metazoa, Chordata, Testudines, Dermochelyidae. The record is from the annotation of a RefSeq genome assembly.
CCACAGCACAACCCCCCCCAGCAGUUCCAACCAGGAUGUUGGACCCUUUGCACUUGAGCAGCUUACUAGACAGAUGCUUUUAGAUGUCAUCUUUCAGCAUAUUGUUUGUAACAAUCAUGCUGUUCGCCAAAUAUCUGCUUUUGUCUUUCAUGGUGGUACAAGUGCAGUUAUUUUUGCACCAACUUCAGCCGUUUCUGUUUGUGAACAUUAAUGAUACAGCAAAGAUCCAGUGCUCUUCCAAAGAACAAUUUUUAGGAGGCAGUAUGACAGCUCAGUGGUACAGGAGACAGGGAAGGUGAGGCCCCCAUGUUAAUUAAGAGAUGCUCAGAUAAUCAAAAUGUAAAUAAAAUUGCUUGCAUAUCGGAAGGACACAACUUGACACUGGAAAUCUACCAUACCCAAUGGAGUGACUCGGGGGGUUUAUUACUGUACCGAUUCGUACAUCAUCUUGACUUUUGUCAACGGAUCCACCCUGAUUGUUGGAGACAGUUACACCACCAGCAGUUGGGUGCUGCCUCUGGCUCCAUCUCCCCACGGCCUCCUCUCCCCCAGGACGGCUGAUCUGGCUUGCGUGGUCCAUGGAGUUUCCAACCCAGUCCAAAUUUCCUGGAGUUGUUCUGGGGAUCUGCAGGAACAGGGUCUGAUGCAUUCGCUGAAAACAAAGGAUGGCUCCUUCGUGUUCAUAAAUCACAUCAGCGUCCCCGUGGACACCUGGACCAGUGGGAAGAAUUUCACCUGUGAUGUUAAAUUCAACAUGUGUUCUACCACCCAGAAAUAUGAUACCUUAAACCAAACAUGGAAGACUGGGUAGAGACUUAGGCCGGGA